GGCCUUUUGGGGAUUUAUAUAAAAGGUUGGGCCUGCCCGGUGAUCUGAAAUGGUUUAACGGCUGCGAUUGAAACCGUACUAAGGUAGCAUAAUAAUUUGCCCUUUAAUUGGGGGAGAGAAUGAAUGGUUUGACGGUAAAAAAGCUGUUUUAAAAAUAAAAAAAGAAGUUAACUUUUAAGUGAAAAGGCUUAAGUUUUUAUAAAAGACGAGAAGACCCCGUCGAGCUUAAUUAGAAUAACUUAAAUGUAGGUUAUUUAAAAUUUUAUUGGGGCAAUAGAAAAUGAAAUGAAUCAUUUUUUUUAUUAUAAGGAUCCAGUUUUGACUGAAAAAAGCAAAAGCUACCGCGGGGAUAACAGGGUAAUUUUUUCUGAGAGUUCAUAUUUAAGAAGAAGUUUGCUACCUCGAUGUUGGAUUAGAAUUUCUUUAUGCUUGC
This 433-nucleotide ribosomal RNA is filed under the name Corbicula fluminea. Its description in RNAcentral is "partial 16S ribosomal RNA". It matches the Rfam family "Bacterial large subunit ribosomal RNA", at positions 1819 to 2557 of the family's 2925-position model. The record is from RNAcentral. Lineage: Eukaryota; Metazoa; Mollusca; Bivalvia; Venerida; Cyrenidae.